GACGAACGCUGGCGGCGUGCCUAAUACAUGCAAGUAGAACGCUGAAGGGGGAGCUUGCUUCUCUGGAUAAGUUGCGAACGGGUGAGAAACGCGUAGGUAACAUGCCUGGUAGCGGGGGGUAACUAUUGGAAACGAUAGCUCAUACAGCAUAAUAGUAGAUGUUGCAUGACAUUUACUUAAAAGGUGCAAUUUCAUCACUACCAGAUGGACCUGCGUUUUAUUAUCUCUUUGGUGGGGUAACGGGUCACCAAGGCGGAGAUACAUAGCCGACCUGAGAAGGGGAUCGGCCACAAUUGGAAUGAGGCACGGCCCAGACUCCUAAGGGAGGCAGCAGUAGGGAAUCUUCCGCAAUUGACGAAAGUCUGACCGAGCAACGCCGCGUGAGUGAAGAAGGGUUUCGGAUCGUAAAGCUCUGUUGUAAGAGAAGAACGAGUGUGAGAGUGGAAAGUUCACACUGUGAAGGUAUCUUACCAGAAAGGGACGGCUAACUACGUG
RNAcentral lists this ribosomal RNA (495 nucleotides) under uncultured bacterium. RNAcentral describes it as "partial 16S ribosomal RNA". It matches the Rfam family "Bacterial small subunit ribosomal RNA", at positions 28 to 507 of the family's 1533-position model. The record is from RNAcentral.